GGUCAUGGCUCAGUGGUAGAACAUCUGCUUGGCAUGCAGAAGGCCCCAGGUUCAAUCCCCGGCAUCUCCA
Molecule: transfer RNA, 70 nt
Filed under: Sphaerodactylus townsendi
Lineage: Eukaryota; Metazoa; Chordata; Lepidosauria; Squamata; Sphaerodactylidae
Description: tRNA-Ala
Rfam family: tRNA
About the family: Transfer RNA (tRNA) molecules are approximately 80 nucleotides in length. Their secondary structure includes four short double-helical elements and three loops (D, anti-codon, and T loops).
Source: RNAcentral